UACGUAGGGGGCGAGCGUUGUCCGAAGUUACUGGGCGUAAAGCGCGCGUAGGCGGGAAAUUAAGUGAGAAGUGAAAUCCCCGGGCUUAACCUGGGAACUGCAUUUGUGACUGCAUUGCUGGAGUGCGGCAGAGGGGGAUGGAAUUCCGCGUGUAGCAGUGAAAUGCGUAGAUAUGCGGAGGAACACCGAUGGCGAAGGCAAUCCCCUGGGCCUGCACUGACGCUCAUGCACGAAAGCGUGGGGAGCAAACAGG
This 253-nucleotide ribosomal RNA is filed under the name uncultured bacterium. RNAcentral's name for it is "partial 16S ribosomal RNA". It matches the Rfam family "Bacterial small subunit ribosomal RNA", at positions 524 to 776 of the family's 1533-position model. The record is from RNAcentral.